This 82-nucleotide small RNA is filed under the name Flavobacterium sp. 9R. RNAcentral's name for it is "Flavo-1". It matches the Rfam family "Flavo-1 RNA". The record is from RNAcentral. Lineage: Bacteria; Pseudomonadati; Bacteroidota; Flavobacteriia; Flavobacteriales; Flavobacteriaceae.
UUCUAGCCCUGAUGGAAGCGGCAUCCUUGGUAGGUCUCUUCUUUAGAGAGCAAGCAAGAUAUAGCGUACAGCAGGACACAAG